RNAcentral lists this non-coding RNA (107 nucleotides) under bovine gut metagenome. RNAcentral's name for it is "SAM riboswitch (S box leader)". It matches the Rfam family "SAM riboswitch aptamer (S box leader)". From Rfam's summary of the family: The SAM riboswitch is found upstream of a number of genes which code for proteins involved in methionine or cysteine biosynthesis in Gram-positive bacteria. The SAM riboswitch acts at the level of transcription termination control. The record is from RNAcentral.
CCUUAUUCAGAGCGAGGGAGGGAAUGGGCCCUGCGAUCUCGCGGCAACCUCACAAGCAGUGAAGGUGCCAAUUCCCACGGAGGUAUGCCGUGCCUCCGGCAGAUGAG